This 85-nucleotide transfer RNA is filed under the name Alligator mississippiensis (American alligator). It matches the Rfam family "tRNA". From Rfam's summary of the family: Transfer RNA (tRNA) molecules are approximately 80 nucleotides in length. Their secondary structure includes four short double-helical elements and three loops (D, anti-codon, and T loops). Lineage: Eukaryota; Metazoa; Chordata; Crocodylia; Alligatoridae. The record is from Rfam by way of RNAcentral.
GGCUCUGUGGUGCAAUGGACAGCACAUUGGACUUUUACAGUAAAGUGUUAUUCAAAGGUUGUGGGUUCAAGUCCCACCAGAGUCA